AUAUAAAAAUAUAAAUACAAAUAAAAUGUAUUAUACAACCAUAUAAAUACAUAUCCACAUUCAUAUAUACAUAUAUUAAUGCAUAUGUGUGUUAUACGAGUAUUGUGUUCAUUAUUUUAUAUUUAAAAAAAAAUUAAAAACACUUCAAAUUUAAUUUUACAAAAAAAAAAAUAUGCAUCUUAAAGCAAAUUCUUAAUAUUUGAGUAUACAUGUUUGGGCUAGUUAUAGAAUUACAGUUGGAAAACGUAAGAGCGAGAGUGUUAAUAUACGUCCAAAUGCAUUUACAUGUGUGAUAACAACAUUUAUAAGACUAAUACAGAUGUAUGCGUGUUGUUUACUUGAACAAAAGAAAUUCCUACUUUUAUAAGAUCUUUUAACAUUAAAACGAUAACUAUACGUAUAGUACAAAUUAAGACUCAAACAUGAGAGAAAUUAUAGUAUUUGGAGUCAUAGUUGGGUUAAUCAUAUUAUUUGGAUUACUAGUCAGAUGCUAUUACCUUUUCCUUCGACCUAAAUGUUUUAAUGAAAAUGAUAGCGAGACUACAGAAAGAACACUAACGGAACCCUUAAAUGAUAUAAACACAACAACUAAACAAACUGUGUAAAAAAUAAGAAAAUGCCCACGAUCAAAUUUGCCAAAAUUAAUUAAAUAUUUUGUUAAUAUUAAUAUACUGUCAUUUUAAGUGCAUUUCCUUAGAUAAUUUAUGAUAUUUUAUUUUGUUAUAAGAAUAAAUUUUAAAUAAAUAAAUUUUUGGUAGUUUUGA
Molecule: long non-coding RNA, 764 nt
Organism: Condylostylus longicornis
Lineage: Eukaryota; Metazoa; Arthropoda; Insecta; Diptera; Dolichopodidae
Exons: 3
Source: RefSeq, a predicted model, not a curated record